UACGUAGGGGGCAAGCGUUGUCCGGAAUCAUUGGGCGUAAAGCGCGUGUAGGCGGCCAUCCAAGUCCGAUGUGAAAGCUCGGGGCUCAACCCCGAGUCUGCAUUGGAAACUGUAUGGCUUGAGUCCGGAAGAGGAGACUGGAAUUCCUGGUGUAGCGGUGAAAUGCGCAGAUAUCAGGAAGAACACCGGUGGCGAAGGCGGGUCUCUGGGACGGUACUGACGCUGAGACGCGAAAGCGUGGGGAGCAAACAGG
Molecule: ribosomal RNA, 253 nt
Filed under: uncultured bacterium
Lineage: Bacteria
Description: partial 16S ribosomal RNA
Rfam family: Bacterial small subunit ribosomal RNA
Source: RNAcentral